This 488-nucleotide ribosomal RNA is filed under the name uncultured bacterium. Its description in RNAcentral is "bacterial SSU rRNA". It matches the Rfam family "Bacterial small subunit ribosomal RNA", at positions 28 to 516 of the family's 1533-position model. The record is from RNAcentral.
GAUGAACGCUAGCGGGAGGCCUAACACAUGCAAGCCGAGCGGUAGAGAUUCUUCGGAAUCUUGAGAGCGGCGUACGGGUGCGGAACACGUGUGCAACCUACCUUUAUCUGGAGGAUAGCCUUUCGAAAGGAAGAUUAAUACUCCAUAAUAUAUUGAUUGGCAUCGAUUGAUAUUGAAAGCUCCGGCGGAUGGAGAUGGGCACGCGCAAGAUUAGCUAGUUGGUGAGGUAACGGCUCACCAAGGCGAUGAUCUUUAGGGGCCUGAGAGGGUGAUCCCCCACACUGGUACUGAGACACGGACCAGACUCCUACGGGAGGCAGCAGUGAGGAAUAUUGGUCAAUGGGUGCAAGCCUGAACCAGCCAUCCCGCGUGAAGGACGACUGCCCUAUGGGUUUGUAAACUUCUUUUGUAUAGGGAUAAACCUACCCUCGUGAGGGUAGCUGAAGGUACUAUACGAAUAAGCACCGGCUAACUCCGUGCCAGCAGCC